Molecule: ribosomal RNA, 404 nt
Filed under: uncultured bacterium
Lineage: Bacteria
Description: bacterial SSU rRNA
Rfam family: Bacterial small subunit ribosomal RNA
Source: RNAcentral
AACGAACGUUAGCGGCGCGCUUAACACAUGCAAGUCGCACGAGAAAGGGAGCAAUCCCCGGUACAGUGGCGCACGGGUGAGUAACACGUAGGUAAUCUGCCUCUGAGUGGUGGAUAACCUCCCGAAAGGGGGGCUAAUACAGCAUAAGACCACGGUUUCGAGAGAAACUGAGGUCAAAGCCGGCCUCUUCAUGAAAGCUGGUGCUCGGAGAUGAGCCUGCGGCCCAUCAUCGGUAGUUGGCGGGGUAAUGGCCCACCAAGCCUAAGACGGGUAGCUGGUCUGAGAGGAUGAUCAGCCACACUGGAACUGAGACACGGUCCAGAUUCCUACGGGAGGCAGCAGUGGGGAAUCUUGCGCAAUGGGCGAAAGCCUGACGCAGCGACGCCGCGUGGGUGAUGAAGGCC